Molecule: ribosomal RNA, 523 nt
Filed under: uncultured bacterium
Lineage: Bacteria
Description: partial 16S ribosomal RNA
Rfam family: Bacterial small subunit ribosomal RNA
Source: RNAcentral
UGGGGAAUAUUGCACAAUGGGCGAAAGCCUGAUGCAGCAACGCCGCGUGAGUGAUGAAGGCCUUCGGGUUGUAAAGCUCUGUCUUUUGGGACGAUAAUGACGGUACCAAAGGAGGAAGCCACGGCUAACUACGUGCCAGCAGCCGCGGUAAUACGUAGGUGGCAAGCGUUGUCCGGAUUUACUGGGCGUAAAGGAUGCGUAGGCGGAUUUUUUAAGUGAGAUGUGAAAUACCCGGGCUUAACUUGGGUGCUGCAUUUCAAACUGGGAAUCUAGAGUGCGGGAGAGGAGAAUGGAAUUCCUAGUGUAGCGGUGAAAUGCGUAGAGAUUAGGAAGAACACCAGUGGCGAAGGCGAUUCUCUGGACCGUAACUGACGCUGAGGCAUGAAAGCGUGGGUAGCAAACAGGAUUAGAUACCCUGGUAGUCCACGCCGUAAACGAUGAGUACUAGGUGUAGGAGGUAUCGACCCCUUCUGUGCCGCAGUUAACACAAUAAGUACUCCGCCUGGGAAGUACGAUCGCAAGA